Molecule: ribosomal RNA, 1376 nt
Filed under: Formosa agariphila
Lineage: Bacteria; Pseudomonadati; Bacteroidota; Flavobacteriia; Flavobacteriales; Flavobacteriaceae
Description: bacterial SSU rRNA
Rfam family: Bacterial small subunit ribosomal RNA
Source: RNAcentral
GCAAGUCGAGGGGUAACAUUGUGCUUGCACAGAUGACGACCGGCGCACGGGUGCGUAACGCGUAUGCAAUCUACCUUUUACAGGGGAAUAGCCCAGAGAAAUUUGGAUUAAUGCCUCAUAGUAUAUAGUUGUGGCAUCACAAUUAUAUUAAAGAUUUAUCGGUAAAAGAUGAGCAUGCGUUCUAUUAGUUAGUUGGUAAGGUAACGGCUUACCAAGACUACGAUAGAUAGGGGCCCUGAGAGGGGGAUCCCCCACACUGGUACUGAGACACGGACCAGACUCCUACGGGGGGCAGCAGUGAGGAAUAUUGGACAAUGGGCGAGAGCCUGAUCCAGCCAUGCCGCGUGCAGGAAGACUGCCCUAUGGGUUGUAAACUGCUUUUAUACAGGAAGAAACACUGCUACGUGUAGCAGCUUGACGGUACUGUAAGAAUAAGGAUCGGCUAACUCCGUGCCAGCAGCCGCGGUAAUACGGAGGAUCCAAGCGUUAUCCGGAAUCAUUGGGUUUAAAGGGUCCGUAGGUGGACAAUUAAGUCAGAGGUGAAAUCUUGCAGCUCAACUGUAAAAUUGCCUUUGAUACUGGUUGUCUUGAGUUAUUAUGAAGUAGUUAGAAUAUGUAGUGUAGCGGUGAAAUGCAUAGAUAUUACAUAGAAUACCAAUUGCGAAGGCAGAUUACUAAUAAUCAACUGACACUGAUGGACGAAAGCGUGGGUAGCGAACAGGAUUAGAUACCCUGGUAGUCCACGCCGUAAACGAUGGUUACUAGCUGUUCGGACUUCGGUCUGAGUGGCUAAGCGAAAGUGAUAAGUAACCCACCUGGGGAGUACGUUCGCAAGAAUGAAACUCAAAGGAAUUGACGGGGGCCCGCACAAGCGGUGGAGCAUGUGGUUUAAUUCGAUGAUACGCGAGGAACCUUACCAGGGCUUAAAUGUAGAUUGACAGGACUAGAGAUAGUUUUUUCUUCGGACAAUUUACAAGGUGCUGCAUGGUUGUCGUCAGCUCGUGCCGUGAGGUGUCAGGUUAAGUCCUAUAACGAGCGCAACCCCUGUUGUUAGUUGCCAGCGAGUCAAGUCGGGAACUCUAACAAGACUGCCAGUGCAAACUGUGAGGAAGGUGGGGAUGACGUCAAAUCAUCACGGCCCUUACGUCCUGGGCUACACACGUGCUACAAUGGUAGGGACAGAGAGCAGCCACUGGGUGACCAGGAGGGAAUCUAUAAACCCUAUCACAGUUCGGAUCGGAGUCUGCAACUCGACUCCGUGAAGCUGGAAUCGCUAGUAAUCGCAUAUCAGCCAUGAUGCGGUGAAUACGUUCCCGGGCCUUGUACACACCGCCCGUCAAGCCAUGGAAGUUGGAAGUGCCUGAAGUCCGUCACCG